Molecule: ribosomal RNA, 26 nt
Filed under: Phomopsis asparagi
Lineage: Eukaryota; Fungi; Ascomycota; Sordariomycetes; Diaporthales; Diaporthaceae
Description: partial 28S ribosomal RNA
Source: RNAcentral
CUGACCUCGAUCAGGUAGAUACAAUA